CCUACGGGAGGCUGCAGUGGGGGAUAUUGCACAAUGGGGGAAACCCUGAUGCAGCGACGCCGCGUGUGGGAAGACGGUCCUCUGGAUUGUAAACCACUGUCCCCAGGGACGAAGAUGACGGUACCGGGGGAGGAAGCGCCGGCUAACUACGUGCCAGCAGCCGCGGUAAUACGGAGGGAGCGAGCGUUGUCCGGAAUUACUGGGUGUAAAGGGAGCGUAGGCGGGGAUGCAAGUUGGGUGUCAAAACUACCGGCUCAACUGGUAGUCGCACUCAAAACUGCCGCUCUUGAGUGAAGUAGAGGCAGGCGCAAUUCCUAGUGUAGCGGUGAAAUGCGUCGAUAUUAGGAGGAACACCAGUGGCGACGGCGGCCUGCUGGGCUUUUACUGACGCUGAGGCUCGAACGUGUGGGGAGCAAACAGGAUUAGAUACCCCGGUAGUC
This 440-nucleotide ribosomal RNA is filed under the name uncultured bacterium. RNAcentral's name for it is "partial 16S ribosomal RNA". It matches the Rfam family "Bacterial small subunit ribosomal RNA", at positions 338 to 795 of the family's 1533-position model. The record is from RNAcentral.